Molecule: ribosomal RNA, 258 nt
Filed under: uncultured Granulicatella sp.
Lineage: Bacteria; Bacillati; Bacillota; Bacilli; Lactobacillales; Carnobacteriaceae
Description: partial 16S ribosomal RNA
Rfam family: Bacterial small subunit ribosomal RNA
Source: RNAcentral
GUGCCAGCCGCCGCGGUAAUACGUAGGUGGCAAGCGUUGUCCGGAUUUAUUGGGCGUAAAGCGAGCGCAGGCGGUUUCUUAAGUCUGAUGUGAAAGCCCCCCGGCUCAACCGGGGAGGGUCAUUGGAAACUGGGGAACUUGAGUGCAGAAGAGGAGAGUGGAAUUCCAUGUGUAGCGGUGAAAUGCGUAGAUAUAUGGAGGAACACCAGUGGCGAAGGCGCUCUCUGGUCUGUAACUGACGCUGAGGCUCGAAAGCGU